This is a non-coding RNA of Camelina sativa (false flax), 1247 nucleotides long. NCBI's taxonomy places the organism in Eukaryota, Viridiplantae, Streptophyta, Magnoliopsida, Brassicales, Brassicaceae. The record is from RefSeq and is a predicted model, not a curated record.
GAAAACCCUACUUUUAAAAAAACUCUCUCUACACUCAGCCGCCGACCAUAAUUUCCGAAUCGAGACUGGAGAGCGGUGGCUUCUAUAGCACUAGCUCUGGCCUCUCCCUCGUGUUAGUCUAUGCUUUCCUUUUGCGGCUUUGUCUGGAGUAAUUUCUCACCGGAUCUGAAUUGGAAGAAGAAGUACGAUGGCAGAGCUUGCUUGUGGUUGGAUUUUCUCUAGCCAGCCUUGUCUCCUGAAUCCUUUGACGUGAACGGUGGUUUUAUCCUGGUGGUUUCAUCUCUGUUUUAUGUUGUGUGGUUAGAGCGGCUAAAUCUGUGAGGGUUUCUGAUUACAGCAAAGGCGAUGGUUCCGGAUCUCAAGAUCUACGAUUGGCUCGAAGAAUAAUGACAUUGUGGUUUUCUUGUUCCUGUAACAGAUCUUUUCGUUGGUCUUGUACUUAUCAUUGCUUCUAAGCGCCAUGUGGAGUGGUUGUGGGAUCUCGUCCAGCCAUUGCCUCUCCUCUCAAUCCUUGUCUAAUCGUUUCAGCCAGCGGUUCCUUUUGGGUCACUCCCUUCCUAAGCAGAGGAUUUGUGUUGUGUUAAGAUGUAUUAUGUUUCUAAGUAUACAGGUUAUCUUCUCCUUGGUGUUGCUCAUUGUGGUUGUUAGUACCUUGAGCUAUCGUCCUUCUUGCUCUAGAGUUUGGUGAUAUUCAAGGGCUUAGCUUCGCUCCUUGUCCUUGCUUUCCAGAUCUGUGUAGAUUGGUUUGCGUUUUGAAGGCUUCUAGCUAGACGUGAAAGGGCGCAUCAGACGCCGUCGUCGCACCCGAAAGCAUGUUUGAGGUUUUCUUAGUGUUUUUGCUUGUUGGGUUAUGAAGUUUUUAGUGUCGAGAGAUCAGCUCUCAUCUUGAUAGGAGGUGGUAGAUGUUAUCUUCGGGUUGGCCGUGGGCACCCUUGGUAAAUCUCUUUCGCAUGAGUUUCUAGAGAAAAGUUUUUUGCUUUCUUAAGUCUAGUAUAUCUCAUAGGAUUCUAGCUUUUUUGUUUUUAUCUUUGGUGCAAGGGUUUGUCCUCCUUCGUUAGGGGUUUGAAUUUUCUGUGUUGUAGUGGUGUUUUUAGUUUUCCUUCCAUAGGGUUUAAGACUUCAGGGACAUAUCUGUGGUAUGCCAGCUUUAGCUUCCCUCGUGUGGGAGUUUGUAUUUCUCUUUAGUUUCAAAACAAGUUUACUAGUAUAAAUCAGAUAACAAAAAAAAAAAAAAAAAAAAUUAGGAA